AGAUGGUAAAUUCCCUUAGCAGCAGGCGGCAGUGCUAAAUUGGCUUCUGCUUUGGCAGCCUAGAGAGCUUGGAAGAAAAGCCGAGUUAAACUGACCUGACAGAAAUAAUCUUCCAAAGAAUAUCCUUUCAAAUUUUUAUCCAUGUUUUAAAGUUGAAUUUAAUAAUUUUAAUUGUUUUAAUAAUUUAACCGAUGGCUUAUCUCAUGAUGCGAUGCUGUCUUCACCCCUCAGCACCCCUUCUGUUUCAAAAUGAGUUCUGGAAGUCUGUGGAAGCCUAAUCUGUCAGCACUCACUAAUCCCCAGGAUCAGCUCUCUCUCGAAGAAACCUUGAGUGAUCUUCAGGGAGAUUAGGCAAUGCGAGGAGCCAGACCCCAGAUACUCACCAUACAUGGUGGUGCGGAUAGCAGAGGCAGAGAUGAGGGCCUACCAUCGUUUCUUGGGGAGCUGCACCAGCCUGGAAUACAGAGCAAAUAAAGCACUUCCAGUAAUCAGCACCUCUCCAAAGCUGGACACGUGCCUGAUGCCUGCUGUGCUGCAGUCUGCAAACCAUCAAUAGAAUUCUGACAGCUGCCUGGUCCUUCCCUGCCAUCAACUAAGAGAUCCACAUGAAGUCUCCUCCUGGGCUGAUGGACAUAAAGACAGUAAAUGUUCAGGGCUCAUGUUCACUGUGCUCUGCCAGUGCUGAGUUCUGGGACCAGGUGCUGAGGUUCCUGUGGAGUGCUCAAAAGCCAUAAGGAACUUUGUGAGAGGGUGGAAGUGUUUCGUUUUUUGAUGUGUAUCAUGUCAUGAUUAUGUUAAUAUUUAGCAAUUGUACACUUAAUGUUUGUGCAGUCUGCUUGUAUUCAACAAAAUUCUGUUAGUGUAAAAAUAAAAGGUACAGAGAGCACUUUUCAUUAUGUAAACUAAGGAAGUUUCAUGUUUCCAUCCCCCCUCCCCUCUGUAUGUGUGUGUAUGUGUAAUGUACACAGAUGUAUUCACCUGUGUGGGAAUAUGGAGAGAGUAAAGGUUGAUAC
Mus caroli (Ryukyu mouse) is the source of this 1013-nucleotide long non-coding RNA. RefSeq lists it as uncharacterized. NCBI's taxonomy places the organism in Eukaryota, Metazoa, Chordata, Mammalia, Rodentia, Muridae. The record is from RefSeq and is a predicted model, not a curated record.